GGGGUAUGCGUUUCAAUGCAUUCUCCAUAUGGUGUGUGUUUGUGUUGAGUAUCGUCGCCGCCGGCAGCUACGAUAUUCGACCUUCAAUUCAAUGGACGAGGGAAAUUCUGCACGCGGGAUUUCGGGUUUGGGCUCGAGGGCAAACUCGAGUCAUUAUGUAUCAUUGGCUCAAUUGGAUGAUAACGAUAGCAGUGUAGCAAAGCACCUUGAAUCUGCAAAUACCAUGUUCUCCUUCAUCUGGUGGAUUAUUGGAUUCUAUUGGGUAUCUGCAGGAGGACAAUCUUUAG
RNAcentral lists this unclassified non-coding RNA (287 nucleotides) under Hevea brasiliensis (rubber tree). The record is from RNAcentral. Lineage: Eukaryota; Viridiplantae; Streptophyta; Magnoliopsida; Malpighiales; Euphorbiaceae.